RNAcentral lists this ribosomal RNA (510 nucleotides) under uncultured bacterium. Its description in RNAcentral is "partial 16S ribosomal RNA". It matches the Rfam family "Bacterial small subunit ribosomal RNA", at positions 28 to 507 of the family's 1533-position model. The record is from RNAcentral.
GACGAACGCUGGCGGCGUGCUUAACACAUGCAAGUCGAACGAAGAGCGAUGGAAGCUUGCUUCUAUCAAUCUUAGUGGCGAACGGGUGAGUAACGCGUAAUCAACCUGCCCUUCAGAGGGGGACAACAGUUGGAAACGACUGCUAAUACCGCAUACGAUCUAACCUCGGCAUCGAGGAUAGAUGAAAGGUGGCCUCUACAUGUAAGCUAUCACUGAAGGAGGGGAUUGCGUCUGAUUAGCUAGUUGGAGGGGUAACGGCCCACCAAGGCGAUGAUCAGUAGCCGGUCUGAGAGGAUGAACGGCCACAUUGGGACUGAGACACGGCCCAGACUCCUACGGGAGGCAGCAGUGGGGAAUCUUCCGCAAUGGACGAAAGUCUGACGGAGCAACGCCGCGGGAGUGAUGACGGCCUUCGGGUUGUAAAGCUCUGUUAAUCGGGACGAAAGGCCUUCUUGCGAAUAGUUAGAAGGAUUGACGGUACCGGAAGAGAAAGCCACGGCUAACUACGUG